AAAAUAAAUAAAUAAAAUAAAAUCCUCAUACACUGGCUAGACCAUCCCUUAUGUACCAAUUAAAAACCAAAAUUUCAUUUACCAAUUACUGAUAAAUUAAUAUCUCAAAAUGACAUUUCAACACAUGAAUUACUAGAGAAAGAAUCCAAAUACGAGUGUUAAAAAGGCUUUAGCAAAUUAAUUUCAACAGCAACCAUGUAUCAUAAUAUAAAGAAUUCUUAUAACAGCAAAACACAGGACCAGGAAACAAUGAAUACAAAGCAUAAUUAAU
This 271-nucleotide unclassified non-coding RNA is filed under the name Hevea brasiliensis (rubber tree). The record is from RNAcentral. Lineage: Eukaryota; Viridiplantae; Streptophyta; Magnoliopsida; Malpighiales; Euphorbiaceae.